Molecule: ribosomal RNA, 119 nt
Filed under: Labrus bergylta (ballan wrasse)
Lineage: Eukaryota; Metazoa; Chordata; Actinopteri; Labriformes; Labridae
Source: RNAcentral
GCUUACGGCCAUACCACCCUGAACACGCCCAAUCUCGUCCGAUCUCGGAAGCUAAGCAGGGUCAGGCCUGGUUAGUACUUGGAUCGGAGACCGCCUGGGAAUACCAGGUGCUGCAAGCU